Molecule: ribosomal RNA, 497 nt
Filed under: uncultured bacterium
Lineage: Bacteria
Description: partial 16S ribosomal RNA
Rfam family: Bacterial small subunit ribosomal RNA
Source: RNAcentral
GAUGAACGCUGGCGGCGUGCCUAAUACAUGCAAGUCGAGCGAACGGACGAGAAGCUUGCUUUUCUGAUGUUAGCGGCGGACGGGUGAGUAACACGUGGAUAACCUACCUAUAAGACUGGGAUAACUUCGGGAAACCGGAGCUAAUACCGGAUAAUAUUUUGAACCGCAUGGUUCAAAAGUGAAAGACGGUCUUGCUGUCACUUAUAGAUGGAUCCGCGCUGCAUUAGCUAGUUGGUAAGGUAACGGCUUACCAAGGCAACGAUGCAUAGCCGACCUGAGAGGGUGAUCGGCCACACUGGAACUGAGACACGGUCCAGACUCCUACGAGAGGCAGCAGUAGGGAAUCUUCCGCAAUGGGCGAAAGCCUGACGGAGCAACGCCGCGUGAGUGAUGAAGGUCUUCGGAUCGUAAAACUCUGUUAUUAGGGAAGAACAUAUGUGUAAGUAACUGUGCACAUCUUGACGGUACCUAAUCAGAAAGCCACGGCUAUCUACGUG